GUCGGAGUAGUUUAAGCACUAAAACAUGGCCCUGAAGAAGCUAAAAUGGUAUUUAUGCCCACCGACA
RNAcentral lists this transfer RNA (67 nucleotides) under Paralvinella sulfincola. RNAcentral's name for it is "tRNA-Phe". Lineage: Eukaryota; Metazoa; Annelida; Polychaeta; Terebellida; Alvinellidae. The record is from RNAcentral.